CAAACGACUCUCGGCAACGGAUAUUUCGGCUCACGCAUCGAUGAAGAACGUAGCAAAAUGCGAUACUUGGUGUGAAUUGCAGAAUCCCGUGAACCAUCGAGUUUUUGAACGCAAGUUGCGCCCGAAGCCAUCCGGCUGAGGGCACGCCUGCCUGGGCGUCACGC
This 164-nucleotide ribosomal RNA is filed under the name Lactuca sativa (garden lettuce). RNAcentral describes it as "5.8S ribosomal RNA". It matches the Rfam family "5.8S ribosomal RNA". Rfam says of the family: 5.8S ribosomal RNA (5.8S rRNA) is a component of the large subunit of the eukaryotic ribosome. It is transcribed by RNA polymerase I as part of the 45S precursor that also contains 18S and 28S rRNA. The record is from RNAcentral. Lineage: Eukaryota; Viridiplantae; Streptophyta; Magnoliopsida; Asterales; Asteraceae.